This 177-nucleotide ribosomal RNA is filed under the name uncultured Pseudomonas sp. RNAcentral describes it as "partial 16S ribosomal RNA". It matches the Rfam family "Bacterial small subunit ribosomal RNA", at positions 355 to 524 of the family's 1533-position model. The record is from RNAcentral. Lineage: Bacteria; Pseudomonadati; Pseudomonadota; Gammaproteobacteria; Pseudomonadales; Pseudomonadaceae.
UGGGGAAUAUUGGACAAUGGGCGAAAGCCUGAUCCAGCCAUGCCGCGUGUGUGAAGAAGGUCUUCGGAUUGUAAAGCACUUUAAGUUGGGAGGAAGGGCAGUAAGUUAAUACCUUGCUGUUUUGACGUUACCGACAGAAUAAGCACCGGCUAACUUCGUGCCAGCAGCCGCGGUAAU